This 528-nucleotide ribosomal RNA is filed under the name Allonais pectinata. Its description in RNAcentral is "partial large subunit ribosomal RNA". It matches the Rfam family "Bacterial large subunit ribosomal RNA", at positions 1796 to 2620 of the family's 2925-position model. The record is from RNAcentral. Lineage: Eukaryota; Metazoa; Annelida; Clitellata; Tubificida; Naididae.
UCGCCUGUUUAUCAAAAACAUUGCCACUGGAUUUUAAACAUCAGUGGUAAUUCCUGCCCAGUGAAUUUAAUUCAACGGCCGCGGUACCCUGACCGUGCAAAGGUAGCAUAAUCACUUGCCCAUUAAUUGUGGGCUAGAAUGAAUGGAAAAACGAAGUAAUAGCUGUCUCUAGUAGUAAACUAAAAACUAAUAUUCCAGUGAAGAAGCUGAAAUAAAAUCACAGGACAAGAAGACCCUAUAGAGCUUUAUUUUUAAUAUACAAACAAAAGUAUAGAAAAAUUUAGUUGGGGCGACUAAGGAAAAAUCAUCCUUUAAUAUAAAGACAUACAAGUCAAAUCAAAGAUCCUAUAACAUAGAUCAAAGAAAUUAGUUACCUUAGGGAUAACAGGCUAAUCCUCCUGGAAAGUCCAAAUUUAUAGGAGGGUUUGGCACCUCGAUGUUGGCUUAGGAUACCUAUAAGAUGCAGCAGUCUUAAUAAGUAGGUUUGUUCAACCUAUAAUAUCCUACGUGAUCUGAGUUCAGACCGGA